RNAcentral lists this ribosomal RNA (602 nucleotides) under uncultured bacterium. Its description in RNAcentral is "bacterial SSU rRNA". The stretch from base 1 to 517 matches the Rfam family "Bacterial small subunit ribosomal RNA", at positions 338 to 873 of the family's 1533-position model. The record is from RNAcentral.
CCUACGGGAGGCAGCAGUGGGGAAUAUUGGACAAUGGGCGAAAGCCUGAUCCAGCAAUGCCGCGUGAGUGAUGAAGGCCUUAGGGUUGUAAAGCUCUUUUACCAGGGAUGAUAAUGACAGUACCUGGAGAAUAAGCUCCGGCUAACUCCGUGCCAGCAGCCGCGGUAAUACGGAGGGAGCUAGCGUUGUUCGGAAUUACUGGGCGUAAAGAGUACGUAGGCGGUUAUUCAAGUCAGAGGUGAAAGCCCGGGGCUCAACCCCGGAACUGCCUUUGAAACUAGAUAGCUAGAAUCUUGGAGAGGUCAGUGGAAUUCCGAGUGUAGAGGUGAAAUUCGUAGAUAUUCGGAAGAACACCAGUGGCGAAGGCGACUGACUGGACAAGUAUUGACGCUGAGGUACGAAAGCGUGGGGAGCAAACAGGAUUAGAUACCCUGGUAGUCCACGCCGUAAACGAUGAUAACUAGUUGUUCGGGCACUUGGUGCCUGAGUGACGCAGCUACGCAUUAAGUUAUCCGUCCGUCGGGGUACGGGUCGGCGAGAUAAACUAACAAUAGAUUAGACGGCGUGAGACGUGCCGAACGGACGACGACGAGGGAGGUAGG